Haliotis rubra (blacklip abalone) is the source of this 385-nucleotide long non-coding RNA. RefSeq lists it as uncharacterized. The transcript has 3 exons. Lineage: Eukaryota; Metazoa; Mollusca; Gastropoda; Lepetellida; Haliotidae. The record is from RefSeq and is a predicted model, not a curated record.
AUCACAAUGACAAUGACAUUGCAGUUUAUACCUGUUCAUGUCAUGUUGACCUGACUUCAGGGCCCAGGUUUCCAUAUACAAGAAACUUCUACAAUGUUGCUCACCACAUGGAAGAAAUGUUUCAAAAAGGUUGGGAAUAGGUCAGGCAUAAUGAGCCUGUGCAACUUUCCAGGGUGGAUCAAAGGGUUAUCUGCCCUUUCUCUAUCUGGCACUGGGGACAGAAGGAAGAAAGACGAUUCUGAUGUCAGCAUAACCUUCCAGUGACACUCAAAGCUUCCUUCUCGCUUCUUGGGGGAAAAACAUAUUUCUGUAUGGCCUCCUACAGGGAGCUAUGCUGAGCCCUUGUUUUUCAAAUACAAUCACAAUCAAUGUCCUAGUCCUGUUG